This 497-nucleotide ribosomal RNA is filed under the name uncultured bacterium. Its description in RNAcentral is "partial 16S ribosomal RNA". It matches the Rfam family "Bacterial small subunit ribosomal RNA", at positions 28 to 507 of the family's 1533-position model. The record is from RNAcentral.
GAUGAACGCUGGCGGCGUGCCUAAUACAUGCAAGUCGAACGAACGGACGAGAAGCUUGUUCUUCUGAUGUUAGCGGCGGACGGGCGAGUAACACGUGCAUCACCUACUUCUAAUUCUGGGAUAAUAUCGUGAAACCGGAGCUAAUACUGGAGCAUAUUUUCAACGGCUUGGAUCAAAAGUGAUUGGCGGCUUUGCUGUCUCUAAUAGCCGGUUCCGCGCUGCAUUAGCUAGUUGGUAAGGUAACGGCUUACCAAGGCGACGAUGCGUAGCCGACCUGAGAAGGUGAUCAGCCACACUGGAACUGAGACACGGUCCAGACUCCUACGGGAGGCAGCAGUGGGGAAUAUUGGACAAUGGGCGAAAGCCUGACGCAGCCACACCGCGUGGGUGAUGAAGGUCUUCGGGUCGUAAAGCCCUGUUGUUGGGGAAGAAAAGCAGUAUGAUUAUACGUCGACAUCUUGACGGUACCUAAACAAAAAGCACCGGCUAACUACGUG